CCUACGGGGGGCUGCAGUGGGGAAUAUUGGACAAUGGGGGGAACCCUGAUCCAGCCAUGCCGCGUGUGUGAAGAAGGCCCUCGGGUUGUAAAGCACUUUCAGUGAGGAAGAACGCCUGGUGGUUAAUACCCAUCAGGAAAGACAUCACUCACAGAAGAAGCACCGGCUAGCUCCGUGCCAGCAGCCGCGGUAAUACGGAGGGUGCGAGCGUUAAUCGGAAUUACUGGGCGUAAAGCGCGCGUAGGUGGCUUGAUAAGCCGGUUGUGAAAGCCCCGGGCUCAACCUGGGAACGGCAUCCGGAACUGUCAAGCUAGAGUGCAGGAGAGGAAGGUAGAAUUCCCGGUGUAGCGGUGAAAUGCGUAGAGAUCGGGAGGAAUACCAGUGGCGAAGGCGGCCUUCUGGACUGACACUGACACUGAGGUGCGAAAGCGUGGGUAGCAAACAGGAUUAGAUACCCUUGUAGUC
This 465-nucleotide ribosomal RNA is filed under the name Vreelandella stevensii. RNAcentral describes it as "partial 16S ribosomal RNA". It matches the Rfam family "Bacterial small subunit ribosomal RNA", at positions 338 to 795 of the family's 1533-position model. The record is from RNAcentral. Lineage: Bacteria; Pseudomonadati; Pseudomonadota; Gammaproteobacteria; Oceanospirillales; Halomonadaceae.